This 139-nucleotide ribosomal RNA is filed under the name uncultured eukaryote. RNAcentral's name for it is "partial 18S ribosomal RNA". It matches the Rfam family "Eukaryotic small subunit ribosomal RNA", at positions 1299 to 1458 of the family's 1831-position model. The record is from RNAcentral.
UGGUGGAGUGAUUUGUCUGGUUAAUUCCGUUAACGAACGAGACCUCAGCCUAUUAAUUAGGUUCAUCAAUCUUACGAUUGUUGAAGCUUCUUAGAGGGACUAUCGGAUUCACAGCCGAUGGAAGUAUGAGGCAAUAACA